Molecule: transfer RNA, 68 nt
Filed under: Marmota monax (woodchuck)
Lineage: Eukaryota; Metazoa; Chordata; Mammalia; Rodentia; Sciuridae
Description: tRNA.Ala
Rfam family: tRNA (bases 5-65)
About the family: Transfer RNA (tRNA) molecules are approximately 80 nucleotides in length. Their secondary structure includes four short double-helical elements and three loops (D, anti-codon, and T loops).
Source: RNAcentral
GGAUUGUGGCUUAGAGGUAGAGUGCUCGCCUAGCACGCGUGAAGCACUGAGUUCGACCCUCAGCACCA